ACCACACUACGACUCGCAUCUCCACAGCACAACAUCUUGCCUCCUCUGUCAUCAAGCUUCUCGCACCAGACUUAUAAAGGGAAAAUGAUGUUAAGCAGAGAGCCAUGGAGAGUGAUCCUGACAGGUACUCGUUGUGGAAGAGUUGUUAUACUCCACGUAAUCAUGAUCACCAUUUUCUGGUUUAGAUAAAGAACAAAGAAAUUACGACUUUCCAAAGCAUCAUGAUCUCUGUAACUAUAUGUUGUGAUGUUAAGAUUUACCAUUAGUGGUGAUUCCAUCACGUGUCUUCGGUGAUUGAACCUCCGCGCCUCGCCUCCAAGCUUUACUUCCUAGUGCCGCACCACACUACGACUCGCAUCUCCACAGCACAACAUCUUGCCUCCUCUGUCAUCAAGCUUCUCGCACCAGACUUAUAAAGGGAAAAUGAUGUUAAGCAGAGAGCCAUGGAGAGUGAUCCUGACAGGUACUCGUUGUGGAAGAGUUGUUAUACUCCACGUAAUCAUGAUCACCAUUUUCUGGUUUAGAUAAAGAACAAAGAAAUUACGACUUUCCAAAGCAUCAUGAUCUCUGUAACUAUAUGUUGUGA
RNAcentral lists this long non-coding RNA (586 nucleotides) under Brassica napus (rape). RNAcentral describes it as "long non-coding RNA (BNAP_LNC015318)". Lineage: Eukaryota; Viridiplantae; Streptophyta; Magnoliopsida; Brassicales; Brassicaceae. The record is from RNAcentral.